UGGGGAAUAUUGCACAAUGGGCGCAAGCCUGAUGCAGCCAUGCCGCGUGUAUGAAGAAGGCCUUCGGGUUGUAAAGUACUUUCAGCGGGGAGGAAGGGAGUAAAGUUAAUACCUUUGCUCAUUGACGUUACCCGCAGAAGAAGCACCGGCUAACUCCGUGCCAGCAGCCGCGGUAAUACGGAGGGUGCAAGCGUUAAUCGGAAUUACUGGGCGUAAAGCGCACGCAGGCGGUUUGUUAAGUCAGAUGUGAAAUCCCCGGGCUCAACCUGGGAACUGCAUCUGAUACUGGCAAGCUUGAGUCUCGUAGGGGGGGGUAGAAUUCCAGGUGUAGCGGUGAAAUGCGUAGAGAUCUGGAGGAAUACCGGUGGCGAAGGCGGCCCCCUGGACGAAGACUGACGCUCAGGUGCGAAAGCGUGGGGAGCAAACAGG
Molecule: ribosomal RNA, 429 nt
Filed under: Chloroflexota bacterium
Lineage: Bacteria; Bacillati; Chloroflexota
Also listed under: 1 other name
Description: Chloroflexi bacterium partial 16S ribosomal RNA
Rfam family: Bacterial small subunit ribosomal RNA
Source: RNAcentral